GGUGGAUCAGUGGCGAACGGGUGAGUAACACGUGAGCAACCUGCCCUGGACUCUGGGAUAAGCGCUGGAAACGGCGUCUAAUACUGGAUAUGAGCUCUCAUCGCAUGGUGGGGGUUGGAAAGAUUUUUCGGUCUGGGAUGGGCUCGCGGCCUAUCAGCUUGUUGGUGAGGUAAUGGCUCACCAAGGCGUCGACGGGUAGCCGGCCUGAGAGGGUGACCGGCCACACUGGGACUGAGACACGGCCCAGACUCCUACGGGAGGCAGCAGUGGGGAAUAUUGCACAAUGGGCGGAAGCCUGAUGCAGCAACGCCGCGUGAGGGAUGACGGCCUUCGGGUUGUAAACCUCUUUUAGCAGGGAAGAAGCGAGAGUGACGGUACCUGCAGAAAAAGCGCCGGCUAACUACGUGCCAGCAGCCGCGGUAAUACGUAGGGCGCAAGCGUUAUCCGGAAUUAUUGGGCGUAAAGAGCUCGUAGGCGGUUUGUCGCGUCUGCUGUGAAAUCCCGAGGCUCAACCUCGGGCCUGCAGUGGGUACGGGCAGACUAGAGUGCGGUAGGGGAGAUUGGAAUUCCUGGUGUAGCGGUGGAAUGCGCAGAUAUCAGGAGGAACACCGAUGGCGAAGGCAGAUCUCUGGGCCGUAACUGACGCUGAGGAGCGAAAGGGUGGGGAGCAAACAGGCUUAGAUACCCUGGUAGUCCACCCCGUAAACGUUGGGAACUAGUUGUGGGGACCAUUCCACGGUUUCCGUGACGCAGCUAACGCAUUAAGUUCCCCGCCUGGGGAGUACGGCCGCAAGGCUAAAACUCAAAGGAAUUGACGGGGACCCGCACAAGCGGCGGAGCAUGCGGAUUAAUUCGAUGCAACGCGAAGAACCUUACCAAGGCUUGACAUACACCAGAACACCGUAGAAAUACGGGACUCUUUGGACACUGGUGAACAGGUGGUGCAUGGUUGUCGUCAGCUCGUGUCGUGAGAUGUUGGGUUAAGUCCCGCAACGAGCGCAACCCUCGUUCUAUGUUGCCAGCACGUAAUGGUGGGAACUCAUGGGAUACUGCCGGGGUCAACUCGGAGGAAGGUGGGGAUGACGUCAAAUCAUCAUGCCCCUUAUGUCUUGGGCUUCACGCAUGCUACAAUGGCCGGUACAAAGGGCUGCAAUACCGUGAGGUGGAGCGAAUCCCAAAAAGCCGGUCCCAGUUCGGAUUGAGGUCUGCAACUCGACCUCAUGAAGUCGGAGUCGCUAGUAAUCGCAGAUCAGCAACGCUGCGGUGAAUACGUUCCCGGGUCUUGUACACACCGCCCGUCAAGUCAUGAAAGUCGGUAACACCUGAAGCCGGUGGCCCAACC
Molecule: ribosomal RNA, 1342 nt
Filed under: Microbacterium proteolyticum
Lineage: Bacteria; Bacillati; Actinomycetota; Actinomycetes; Micrococcales; Microbacteriaceae
Description: bacterial SSU rRNA
Rfam family: Bacterial small subunit ribosomal RNA
Source: RNAcentral